RNAcentral lists this ribosomal RNA (270 nucleotides) under uncultured bacterium. RNAcentral's name for it is "partial 16S ribosomal RNA". It matches the Rfam family "Bacterial small subunit ribosomal RNA", at positions 83 to 354 of the family's 1533-position model. The record is from RNAcentral.
CCUUUUGACUGAGUGGCGGACGGGUGAGUAACGCGUGGGCAACCUGGCCUGUACAGGGGGAUAACACUUAGAAAUAGGUGCUAAUACCGCAUAACGGGGGAAGCCGCAUGGCUUUUCCCUGAAAACUCCGGUGGUACAGGAUGGGCCCGCGUCUGAUUAGCCAGUUGGCAGGGUAACGGCCUACCAAAGCGACGAUCAGUAGCCGGCCUGAGAGGGCGGACGGCCACACUGGGACUGAGACACGGCCCAGACUCCUACGGGAGGCAGCAG